ACUACGGGAGGCAGCAGUGGGGGAUAUUGCACAAUGGGGGGAACCCUGAUGCAGCGACGCCGCGUGGGUGAAGAAGCGCCUCGGCGCGUAAAGCCCUGUCAGCAGGGAAGAAAAUGACGGUACCUGAAGAAGAAGCCCCGGCUAACUACGUGCCAGCAGCCGCGGUAAUAGGUAGGGGGCAAGCGUUAUCCGGAUGUACUGGGUGUAAAGGGGGCGCAGACGGGGAUGCAAGCAAGGCGUGACAGCCCGGGGCCCAACCCCGGGACUGCUCUUGGAACUGCGUGGCGGGAGUGCAGGAGGGGCAGGCGGAAUUCCUGGUGUGGCGGUGAAAUGCGUAGAUAGCAGGAGGAACACCGGUGGCGAAGGCGGCCUGCUGGACUGCAACUGACGUUGAGGCCCGAAAGCGUGGGGAGCAAACAGGAGUAGAUACCCGAGUAGUC
Molecule: ribosomal RNA, 440 nt
Filed under: uncultured bacterium
Lineage: Bacteria
Description: partial 16S ribosomal RNA
Rfam family: Bacterial small subunit ribosomal RNA
Source: RNAcentral